This 844-nucleotide ribosomal RNA is filed under the name uncultured prokaryote. RNAcentral's name for it is "bacterial SSU rRNA". It matches the Rfam family "Archaeal small subunit ribosomal RNA", at positions 508 to 1351 of the family's 1478-position model. The record is from RNAcentral.
GCCUAAAGGGGCCGUAGCUUGAUAAUAGGGUCCCUUGAGAAAUCCGCCGGCUUAACUGGCGGGCGUUCAGGGGAAACUUGUUUUCUAGGGACCGGGAGAGGUGAGGGGUACUGCCGGGGUAGGAGUGAAAUCCUGUAAUCCCGGUGGGACCACCUAUGGCGAAGGCAUCUCACCAGAACGGGUCCGACAGUGAGGAACGAAAGCUGGGGGAGCAAACCGGAUUAGAUACCCGGGUAGUCCCAGCUGUAAACUAUGUGCGUUAGGUGUGUCAGUGACCACGUGUCACUGAGGUGCCGAAGGGAAACCGUGAAACGCACCGCCUGGGGAGUACGGUCGCAAGGCUGAAACUUAAAGGAAUUGGCGGGGGAGCACCACAACGGGUGGAGCCUGCGGUUUAAUCGGACUCAACGCCGGGAAUCUCACCGGAUAAGACAGCUGAAUGAUAGUCGGGAUGAAGACUCUACUUGACUAGCUGAGAGGAGGUGCAUGGCCGUCGUCAGUUCGUACUGUGAAGCAUCCUGUUUAGUCAGGCAACGAGCGAGACCCACGCCAACAGUUGCCAGCAUGGUCUCCGGACUGAUGGGGACACUGUUGGGACCGCCUCUGCUAAAGAGGAGGAAGGAAUGGGCAACGGUAGGUCAGCAUGCCCCGAAUUAUCCGGGCUACACGCGGGCUACAAUGGGCAGGACAAUGGGCAUCGACACCGAGAGGUGAAGGCAAUCUCCUAAACCUGUCCUUAGUUCGGAUUGUGGGCUGAAACUCGCCCACAUGAAGCUGGAAUCCGUAGUAAUCGCGUUUCAAAAUAGCGCGGUGAAUACGUCCCUGCUCCUUGCACACACCGCNC